CAAGGCUUGACAUGCACAGGACGGUUGCAGAGAUGUGGCUUUCUUCGGACUGGUGCACAGGUGGUGCAUGGUUGUCGUCAGCUCGUGUCGUGAGAUGUUGGGUUAAGUCCCGCAACGAGCGCAACCCUUGUUCUAUGUUGCCAGCACGUAAUGGUGGGGACUCAUAGGAGACUGCCGGGGUCAACUCGGAGGAAGGUGGGGACGACGUCAAAUCAUCAUGCCCCUUAUGUCUUGGGCUUCAAGCAUGCUACAAUGGUCGGUACAAUGGGUUGCGAAACUGUGAGGUGGAGCGAAUCCCAAAAAGCCGGCCUCAGUUCGGAUUGGGGUCUGCAACUCGACCCCAUGAAGUCGGAGUCGCUAGUAAUCGCAGAUCAGCAACGCUGCGGUGAAUACGUUCCC
Molecule: ribosomal RNA, 399 nt
Filed under: Brachybacterium sp. enrichment culture clone NCP-V
Lineage: Bacteria; Bacillati; Actinomycetota; Actinomycetes; Micrococcales; Dermabacteraceae
Description: bacterial SSU rRNA
Rfam family: Bacterial small subunit ribosomal RNA
Source: RNAcentral